This 221-nucleotide non-coding RNA is filed under the name Pseudomonas sp. Lineage: Bacteria; Pseudomonadati; Pseudomonadota; Gammaproteobacteria; Pseudomonadales; Pseudomonadaceae. The record is from RNAcentral.
CCUACACACCUUGUUACGGGUGCCCUUCACAGGGUGAAACGGGAAACCGGUGCGUUCAGGCCUUCGGGUCUGUGCAAGUCCGGCGCUGCCCCCGCAACGGUAAGCGAGUGAAGAGUCAGAUCCACUGUGUCGGUAGCGAUAUGGGAAGGCGAUUCUUGAAGGCAUGUGUGACUUGCAUGUCCCUCGCAAGCCCGGAGACCGGCCCGACAACGACACAUAAC